GAUGAACGCUGGCGGCGUGCCUAAUACAUGCAAGUCGAGCGAACAGACGAGGAGCUUGCUCCUCUGACGUUAGCGGGGGACGGGUGAGUAACACGUGGAUAACCUACCUAUAAGACUGGGAUAACUUCGGGAAACCGGAGCUAAUACCGGAUAAUAUAUUGAACCGCAUGGUUCAAUAGUGAAAGACGGUUUUGCUGUCACUUAUAGAUGGACCCGCGCCGCAUUAGCUAGUUGGUAAGGUAACGGCUUACCAAGGCAACGAUGCGUAGCCGACCUGAGAGGGUGAUCGGCCACACUGGAACUGAGACACGGUCCAGACUCCUACGGGAGGCAGCAGUAGGGAAUCUUCCGCAAUGGGCGAAAGCCUGACGGAGCAACGCCGCGUGAGUGAUGAAGGUCUUCGGAUCGUAAAACUCUGUUAUUAGGGAAGAACAAAUGUGUAAGUAACUAUGCACGUCUUGACGGUACCUAAUCAGAAAGCCACGGCUAACUACGUG
RNAcentral lists this ribosomal RNA (497 nucleotides) under uncultured bacterium. RNAcentral's name for it is "partial 16S ribosomal RNA". It matches the Rfam family "Bacterial small subunit ribosomal RNA", at positions 28 to 507 of the family's 1533-position model. The record is from RNAcentral.